CUCGGCUCUGCACACCUGGACUGCGCUGACAUCCUCCUAGUUCCAGCUCCUGCUUCCAAAGUACAGAGUAGAAAUCCAGCUGCCAGGAACAAGUGAUCUACAAAAUACAGACUUGGACGAGACUCAAGUGAGACGUGAUCUUGUCAGUGCACAUCUUGUAGGGUGGCCCGCAGUUGCAGUUUUGCUUGCUUUCAGAAUCGGAGGCGCACUUGCUGGUGCAGCGCUGCAGCACUCGGAGGCACAAUCGGAGGUGGAUUUGGAUUGAUUGGCGCAGACAUGACCAUCACUGGCACACUUGGAGGCACAGUCGGAGGCAUAGUUGGAUACAUACUGACACACACAGUGACGCAUUCUACCAUUGUCGGAGGCGCAGUCGGAGGUGCAGUCGGAGGCAUAAUGACACUCAUAUUCACAGCUGUUGCUGCUAGCGUGGUCUGGGGCUUUAUCGGAUUCAUAAUCGGAGGGGCAGUCGGAUGCGCACUCAAAGGCAUUCUGACUCUCACAGUUGCAGGUGCUUCUGGGGUCGGAGGUGCAAUCUGUUUCAUAUUCGUAGGUGCAGUCGUAUGCAUACUGACACUCGCAGUCAUAGAUGCAAAAGUUGAUGCGAUCAGAGGUGCAAUCGGUCACGAAUUCGGCUGCACAGUUGGAGGCAGAGUUGGAAGCUUAGUCGGAGGCAUAGUCGGAGGCAUAGUCGGAAACUUAG
Long non-coding RNA from Acipenser ruthenus (sterlet), 703 nucleotides. RefSeq lists it as uncharacterized. The transcript is spliced from 3 exons. Lineage: Eukaryota; Metazoa; Chordata; Actinopteri; Acipenseriformes; Acipenseridae. The record is from RefSeq and is a predicted model, not a curated record.